AUAAGCGCCGGUAAGGUGAUAUGAACCGUUAUAACCGGCGAUACCCGAAUGGGGAAACCCAGUGUGAUUCGUCACACUAUCAUUAACUGAAUCCAUAGGUUAAUGAGGCGAACCGGGGGAACUGAAACAUCUAAGUACCCCGAGGAAAAGAAAUCAACCGAGAUUCCCCCAGUAGCGGCGAGCGAACGGGGAGGAGCCCAGAGCCUGAAUCAGCAUGUGUGUUAGUGGAAGCGUCUGGAAAGGCGCGCGAUACAGGGUGACAGCCCCGUACACAAAAGCGCAUGUGCUGUGAGCUCGAUGAGUAGGGCGGGACACGUGGUAUCCUGUCUGAAUAUGGGGGGACCAUCCUCCAAGGCUAAAUACUCCUGACUGACCGAUAGUGAACCAGUACCGUGAGGGAAAGGCGAAAAGAACCCCGGCGAGGGGAGUGAAAAAGAACCUGAAACCGUGUACGUACAAGCAGUGGGAGCACAGGUUUACCUGUGUGACUGCGUACCUUUUGUAUAAUGGGUCAGCGACUUAUAUUCUGUAGCAAGGUUAACCGAAUAGGGGAGCCGGAGGGAAACCGAGUCUUAAUUGGGC
RNAcentral lists this ribosomal RNA (582 nucleotides) under Salmonella enterica subsp. enterica serovar Enteritidis. RNAcentral describes it as "partial 23S ribosomal RNA". It matches the Rfam family "Bacterial large subunit ribosomal RNA", at positions 71 to 693 of the family's 2925-position model. Lineage: Bacteria; Pseudomonadati; Pseudomonadota; Gammaproteobacteria; Enterobacterales; Enterobacteriaceae. The record is from RNAcentral.